Homo sapiens (human) is the source of this 483-nucleotide long non-coding RNA. RefSeq lists it as uncharacterized. NCBI's taxonomy places the organism in Eukaryota, Metazoa, Chordata, Mammalia, Primates, Hominidae. The transcript is spliced from 2 exons. The record is from RefSeq and is a predicted model, not a curated record.
AGUGACUCAGCAAGCCUGGGUCUUGGGGAAAUUACGAAUACCUGGUUGAAGGGCAGUCCUCAGGCAGAGCCCCUGAGACCCGUUGAACUCUAGAGUGUGGGAGCAGAGGAGAUUCAGGGCCUGCCCAGGGGCAGAGUGCCCCCAGGACUCGCCCUGGCUCAGUUAAGGACUCCCCUCAGGAUCUGCAGAGGUGCAAGGCAGGGUGCAGCUCUGCCUGGACUGAGCUGGAAAUGCAGCCGUGUGGCUGAAGUGGCCACUUCCUGCUUUCUGUAAAGCAGCCACGGGGACCUGUGAACAGAUGCACACCUGUCCUGAAGACACCCGGUUCUCAUGCUCUUCUCUGCAGCACCUGAAUUGGGCAUUCCUGGGUAAAGCUGUUUAAGUUACUUUCACUUUUAUCCACUUGUUUCCGUUAUUUCAACCAUGCAUGUCCCUUGUGUAUGUAGGAUAAAGGUGUCUAAGAAUAAAGGUCCAUGAUUUAAA